RNAcentral lists this ribosomal RNA (484 nucleotides) under uncultured bacterium. Its description in RNAcentral is "bacterial SSU rRNA". It matches the Rfam family "Bacterial small subunit ribosomal RNA", at positions 27 to 507 of the family's 1533-position model. The record is from RNAcentral.
CGAUUGAACGCUGGCGGAAUGCUUUACACAUGCAAGUCGAACGGCAGCACGGGGCAACCUGGUGGCGAGUGGCGAACGGGUGAGUAAUACAUCGGAACGUGCCCAAUCGUGGGGGAUAACGUAGCGAAAGUUACGCUAAUACCGCAUACGAUCUACGGAUGAAAGCGGGGGAUCGCAAGACCUCGCGCGAAUGGAGCGGCCGAUGUCAGAUUAGGUAGUUGGUGGGGUAAAGGCUCACCAAGCCAACGAUCUGUAGCUGGUCUGAGAGGACGACCAGCCACACUGGGACUGAGACACGGCCCAGACUCCUACGGGAGGCAGCAGUGGGGAAUUUUGGACAAUGGGCGCAAGCCUGAUCCAGCAAUGCCGCGUGCAGGAAGAAGGCCUUCGGGUUGUAAACUGCUUUUGUACGGAACGAAACGGUCUGGGUUAAUACCCUGGGCUAAUGACGGUACCGUAAGAAUAAGCACCGGCUAACUACGUG